RNAcentral lists this ribosomal RNA (378 nucleotides) under uncultured archaeon. RNAcentral describes it as "bacterial SSU rRNA". It matches the Rfam family "Archaeal small subunit ribosomal RNA", at positions 474 to 853 of the family's 1478-position model. The record is from RNAcentral.
UCCCGACGACCCUAGUCGCAUUCAACUUUAUUGGGUCUAAAACAUUCGUAGCUGGUGUCGCAAGUUUUAUGUUAAAUCGUUGCUCUUAAAGUAAUGGCUGCAUAAAAUACUACGAUGCUUGGGACUGGGAGAUGUAGAGAGUACGCAGAAGGUAGUGGUAAAAUAUUUUAAUCUUUUGCGGACUAACAAGGGCGAAGGCACUCUACAAGAACAGCUCCGACGGUGAGGAAUGAAGGCCAAGGGCGCAAAACGGAUUAGAUACCCGUGUAGUCUUGGCUGUAAACACUGUAGACUAGAUAUUGUGAUCUCUUAGGGAGAUUGCAGUAUUGCAGCGAAGGCGUAAGUCUACUACCUGGGGAGUACAGCCGCAAGGCCGAA